Molecule: ribosomal RNA, 253 nt
Filed under: uncultured bacterium
Lineage: Bacteria
Description: partial 16S ribosomal RNA
Rfam family: Bacterial small subunit ribosomal RNA
Source: RNAcentral
UACAGAGGAGCCAAGCGUUGUCCGGAUUGACUGGGCGUAAAGCGCACGCAGGCGGAUGCGCGCGUGGGGUGCGAAAUCUGGCCGCUUAACGGCCAGGCGCCAUCCCAUACGGCGCGUCUGGAGUGAUGCAGAGGUCGGUGGAAUUGCCGGUGUAGUGGUGAAAUGCGUAGAGAUCCGGAAGAACACCAGUGGCGAAGGCGGCUCACUGGCCCGAUACUGACGCUGAGGCACGAAAGCGUGGGGAGCAAACAGG